This is a long non-coding RNA of Hemicordylus capensis (graceful crag lizard), 2175 nucleotides long. RefSeq lists it as uncharacterized. NCBI's taxonomy places the organism in Eukaryota, Metazoa, Chordata, Lepidosauria, Squamata, Cordylidae. The record is from RefSeq and is a predicted model, not a curated record. The transcript is spliced from 5 exons.
UCUAUGUGGCUGCAAGUUAUCUCUGUGCUUGUGCAGACUUCUUUUUUGGUAGGACCCUCUUCAGGUUCAGGCACAGACAGCAGAAGGCUUCUUCCUUGCUCUUUCCCUUGCCUCAUAGCCUCUUCUUGUAGUCUUCCUCUCAACUUCAGUCCUUCUUAUCCAUCUCCCUUGAACAAACUUUUUCAAAUGAACUGAACUGAACGGCUUGUGUUAACCAGCCUUAAAUGUUUUUUCCUUCUUUAGAGCCCCUUUAGACUCCCACUUCUAGACAUAGCUCUUGCCUAGCAACAGCAUUUGUUGGUGCUGCUUAGCAACAGAGUUGCCUAUGCCACCAUUAGAGGGCCUUAACUUAACCAGUAAAACAAACACAAACAACCAAGUGUCCUUAUGGAGCUUACCAGGAGGCUUCAACACGACCUUUCCCCUCAGAGAACCCUAUUCAAGGGAGACUGAUUACCUCUGCAUAACCUAACCUUCCUCACAGCAAGCACAAGCUUGAGGGCUGCUAUAGAAGAAUUAAUUCUGUGGAAAGGGUGCUGUUAGCAAAUGAGCUGUUUUUCUGCCAUUCAAACAUAGCACCUUCGUUAACUGUGGCCAGGUAAUUCCAAUUCACUCUGCAGAUGUCCACCAAACCGUGGCCAGCCAAACUCCAGUUGAGGAAGAGGGUAGCUCCUCUCUGCUGCUCAGCCCACUACGAGGCCAGUCCCAGCCAGCUCCACAGCUCACUGGGGGCAAAGUGUCACUCACUGUGGCAGCGGCUCAGCCACGAUUAGCCACACUCAAGAAGGGGAGUGCCAAGCAUGAUCCUGUGUUUUCAGAGCACUCCUCCCGCCCUCAGCAGGGAGAGGAAAGCCCUUUCAGUUCCCUGCAAUGCCAGCGUUUUUUCUGCCAGCCAUGGCACCCCCCCAAAAAAAGUAGCCCAGCACCCUGAAAACACAACACCAGCAUGAAUUCCCUGAUAGUUUUGAGGCCUGGGGUGUGUUUCUAAAGGUCCAACUUGAGAGGAUCAUAGUGACUUCCCAGUGAAGUUCUUGAACUGAGCUGCCCAAACGACACCUGAUCCCUGGUGCCAGAUGGAAGAACUCAAGGCUACUUGCAUUAAUGAAGCAAUCUGGGGAAGGGAGAAACUUUGCUACAUCUUGAAGAAGAAGCUGGAGCAAUGGUAGACGCUUCUAGAGCAGAUGUGUCUGCUUGCUCAGAAGCAAAUGGAUUUCUUCCACACAGGAGACAUCUAACAAGACAAUCACGGAACUGGAAAGGAAAGGAACAGAAGCCGCCUACGUGUGUUAACUCCUUUUAUCUUCAUAACAACUUUCAAAAUAGAUUAGGCUAAGGGAGUGACAUGCCCAAAGCAAUCCAGUGAAUGUUAUGGUUAAAGGGGAUCUGAAUGCAGGUCUCCUCAAGCCAAGUCAAAACAUCUAUAAUAUACUACAUUAUACCAGCUCUUGAAAGUGCAGAGCUGCGGUCCCGCCUUUUCACACAACAGCGUGAGAACUGACAACCUUCUGAACUGCAAGCAAGACAACCAAUCACCCAGCCAUCCCAUCAGUACAAGAAAAAGUCAGUAUAUGAUAAAGGCAACAGCAAAGGCAAUAUUCUACUUUGCAAUACUCUUCUUGAUGGUAUAGUAUUAUGCUGAUUGCAAUGGAAGACAUAGGUGAUGGAGAGACCUAACUCAAUGUUCAAAGCAGAGUCAUGAGAUGAUACCAUAGCUGAUGUUAACAAAUCUUCAAACACAUGUUCUUAAUCUUGGAUGCUGAAAACCUGAAGGCUUCCCAUAACACUUACAUUUUAUGUAUAAAAGAAGAAAGAGUAAUUUGCAGGAGUGAGUUGGUCAGCAGCCAUGAAAGGGUUUAUAGAAUAGUGGAAUGAAUGUGCAUUCCCUGGCUCAGAAUUUUGAAACAAACCUACCUACUACAACCACUUUAUAGAUUAAACAACAUCAAGAAUGCUUCUAUCUUCUUCAAUGAGUCAGGAAUGUUGGAGAGCGAAGAACGAACUGUCACACCCAAUCGGCACUGUUCCCACUCACUCCCCACCGCCACCCAGCGUGUUUGUCUUCCCUUGUUUGAUUAUAGCUACACCCCUGUAUUCCUGUUUAAGCGUCUAGGCCUCUUCAAAUUGCUUGACUACUUUAAAGUGACUAAACAACAUAAUAAAGAAGCUUCUGUUGCA